GUGCGUAGGUGGCUAUUUAAGUCUUUGGUGUAAGUGCAGUGNUCAACACUGUGAUGCUAAAGAACUGGAUGGCUUGAGUGUGGUAGAGGCAAGUGGAAUUCCAUGUGUAGCGGUAAAAUGCGUAAAUAUAUGGAGGAACACCAGUGGCGAAGGCGGCUUGCUGGGCCAUAACUGACACUGAGGCACGAAAGCGUGGGGAGCAAACAGGAUUAGAUACCCUGGUAGUCCACGCCGUAAACGAUGAGUACUAAGUGUAGGAGAAAUUCUGUGCUGUAGUUAACGCAAUAAGUACUCCGCCUGAGUAGUACGUACGCAAGUAUGAAACUCAAAGGAAUUGACGGGACCCCGCACAAGCGGUGGAUCAUGUUGUUUAAUUCGAUGAUACGCGAAGAACCUUACCAGGUCUUGACAUCCCCUGCAAAGCUAUGGAGACAUAGUGGAGGUUAUCAGGGAGACAGGUGGUGCAUGGUUGUCGUCAGCUCGUGUCGUGAGAUGUUGGGUUAAGUCCCGCAACGAGCGCAACCCUUAUUGCUAGUUACCAUCAUUAAGUUGGGGACUCUAGCGAGACUGCCAGUGAUAAACUGGAGGAAGGUGGGGAUGACGUCAAAUCAUCAUGCCCCUUAUGACCUGGGCUACAAACGUGAUACAAUGGCUGAAACAAAGGGCAGCGAAGCAGUGAUGUGGAGCGAAACCCAAAAAAGCAGUCUCAGUUCGGAUUGAAGUCUGCAACUCGACUUCAUGAAGUCGGAAUCGCUAGUAAUCGCGGAUCAGAACGCCGCGGUGAAUACGUUCUCGGGGUUUGUACACACCGCCCGUCAAACCACGAAAGUUGACAAUACCCAAAGCCGGUGGCCUAACCGCAAGGAGGGAGCCGUUUAAGGUAGGGUUAAUGAUUGGGGUUAAGUCGUAACAAGGUAACC
This 920-nucleotide ribosomal RNA is filed under the name uncultured delta proteobacterium. RNAcentral's name for it is "bacterial SSU rRNA". It matches the Rfam family "Bacterial small subunit ribosomal RNA", at positions 567 to 1501 of the family's 1533-position model. The record is from RNAcentral. Lineage: Bacteria; Deltaproteobacteria.